This 1370-nucleotide long non-coding RNA is filed under the name Oryctolagus cuniculus (rabbit). Its description in RNAcentral is "lncRNA (ENSOCUG00000039539.1)". Lineage: Eukaryota; Metazoa; Chordata; Mammalia; Lagomorpha; Leporidae. The record is from RNAcentral.
UGUUUUAUUAUAAUUCUCUUUAUAAUUAUUAUAUAUGAAAAAGAUCAUUUACAAUGUUCCAUCUUUCUAAAGGUGAGAAGAUUGAUGCCAGUGACAUACAACUUUAUCUGAAAGAAUUAGGUAUUGAGCUAACAGAUCAGGAAAAUCAGGAACUAUUGGACACACUGCCAUUGGACGGUGAGCAUUUCAGACAUCCCAAUCAAUUUCAGAGAAUCCUGGGCUUCAGACUUGAACACAGAACAUUCCAGAAGUAUUAAUGUUUAAUCUUCUACUAAAAAUUAAGAGAAAAGUUAUGUAGAAAAAAACAAUUCUGAUGUAAAAUAUACUGUCCUUUCUAUUUAGAUCUUAAUUUGAAUGAUAAUGUUCUCACUGGGGUAUUGAUAUUACAAAUAAGCCAUUAUAAAUGUUCCAACCAGUAUCUAUAACAAGCCUAAAACUAAGACUAGAAAAGAUUAUAAUCAGAAAAGAUGUAGAAAGGAAGGAAAAUACACUUCAAAAAAGGGAAAACAUCUAUAUUUUACCAUGUUAGAGUUCUACUAGUAGUAAUCAGAUGUGAAAGAAUGAAUAGUUAACCUUGAGAAUCUUAUUAAUUUCUUUGCUUCCUUUUUUGGAUCAUAAUUAAGAAAAUUUGUAAAAUUUAUAAAUAGUUAAAAUUUACUGUCUUUCUAAAUUUCCACUUUUUAAAAAAAUUUAGUUCAAACUUAAUAAUGUUUUGACAUUUUGCCACAUUCACUUCAAAUGUAGACAUUGUAUACACACACAUCUGUGUUAUUUUUCUUGAAAACAGAGCUAUUAAUAUCACACAGUGUUCAUAAUGUGGGGAAAGAAGGGCAUGUUGUCAUGUCCAUGGUAUGACUCAGGAAAGCAAUAUUUAUAAAUAUGUGCUGAAUGACUUUUACUAACUAAAUGACUUUCAUCAUACAGAAAAUCGAAAGGUGUAUAAAAAUAGGCUGAUGGAUGGAGUGAAAGCUUACAGAGGAGGAAAGGUUAUUGUUGAUAAAAUAGAUGAUGUUCUUGAAAACAUGGGAUUCUCACUUGAAGAAGAAGAAAUUGAGGAACUGUGCAAACACCUGCCAAUUAAUGGUGAGCAUUCCAUGUACAGAGUACCCUGUAAGAAAAACUUAUUUUUCCGUGGAAACAUCUCAAGUAUAUUUGUUAAUUUCAGGCAAAAGUUCAAAAGUAUAUAGAGAUCUAUUACUAAAGAACUGAGAAAUAUAGUCUGUUAAUAUUACCCUGGAUAAAAUAUCCACACUUGCUUAUGUUUCUGCUACCAGAGUUUCCAUGCCAGCAAAUACCAAAAUGGUCAGUGUUGGGAUCAAGUAGAUAAGUUUUCUAAUAAAUUCAUAUUUUAGGGGAGGGAGGAGAAAAUA